UAGGGAAUCUUCGGCAAUGGACGAAAGUCUGACCGAGCAACGCCGCGUGAGUGAAGAAGGUUUUCGGAUCGUAAAACUCUGUUGUUAGAGAAGAACAAGGACGUUAGUAACUGAACGUCCCCUGACGGUAUCUAACCAGAAAGCCACGGCUAACUACUUGCCAGCAGCCGCGGUAAUACGUAGGUGGCAAGCGUUGUCCGGAUUUAUUGGGCGUAAAGCGAGCGCAGGCGGUUUCUUAAGUCUGAUGUGAAAGCCCCCGGCUCAACCGGGGAGGGUCAUUGGAAACUGGGAGACUUGAGUGCAGAAGAGGAGAGUGGAAUUCCAUGUGUAGCGGUGAAAUGCGUAGAUAUAUGGAGGAACACCAGUGGCGAAAGCGGCUCUCUGGUCUGUAACUGACGCUGAGGCUCGAAAGCGUGGGGAGCAAACAGG
Molecule: ribosomal RNA, 429 nt
Filed under: Gemmatimonadota bacterium
Lineage: Bacteria; Pseudomonadati; Gemmatimonadota
Description: Gemmatimonadetes bacterium partial 16S ribosomal RNA
Rfam family: Bacterial small subunit ribosomal RNA
Source: RNAcentral